AACGCUGGCGGCGUGCUUAACACAUGCAAGUCGAACGGAGUUAGAGAGCUUGCUCUUAAACUUAGUAGGCGGACGGGUGGAGUAACGCGUGGGUAACCUGCCUUUCACUGGGGGAUAACAGUUAGAAAUGACUGCUAAUACCGCAUAAGCGCACGGGAUCGCAUGAUCUAGUGUGAAAAAACUCCGGUGGUGAAAGAUGGACCUGCGUCUGAUUAGCUAGUUGGUGAGGUAACGGCCCACCAAGGCGACGAUCAGUAGCCGGCCUGAGAGGGUGAACGGCCACAUUGGGACUGAGACACGGCCCAAACUCCUACGGGAGGCAGCAGUGGGGAAUAUUGCACAAUGAGGGAAACCCUGAUGCAGCGACGCCGCGUGAGUGAAGAAGUAUUUCGGUAUGUAAAGCUCUAUCAGCAGGGAAGAAAAUGACGGUACCUGACUAAGAAGCCCCGGCUAACUACGUGCCAGCAGCGGC
RNAcentral lists this ribosomal RNA (472 nucleotides) under uncultured bacterium. RNAcentral's name for it is "bacterial SSU rRNA". It matches the Rfam family "Bacterial small subunit ribosomal RNA", at positions 32 to 518 of the family's 1533-position model. The record is from RNAcentral.